Molecule: long non-coding RNA, 607 nt
Filed under: Bos taurus (domestic cattle)
Lineage: Eukaryota; Metazoa; Chordata; Mammalia; Artiodactyla; Bovidae
Description: long non-coding RNA NONBTAT017020
Source: RNAcentral
UUGAUUAUUUGCUUGUUUUUAGUUUCUUUUUUUUAAAAAUUUGGGGAGGUAGAAGACCUUUCUACCCCUAAAGUAUUGUCACCAUUGUCCUACUAAAAUUAAUGGAGGGCUUUUGGUCACACAAAGCUUAUUUUGUUCCUUGUAUCAUUUUCUAACUGUUCAGAAGCAGCGGAAGUACUGUGUUAGCAAAAUUAAUUGAGGAAUCACUCACACCUUAUGUAUUCUUCCUGCUCCUUAUCACUCUUAACAAGGGAAGAAUUGGUAGUUUUUUGUAUGUGAGGAAGAAAAAUCCAUAUUUUUUCUUCUCUGCAAAUAGGAGAAUUUCAUUUUUUCUUUACUUAGGUAUGUGGUGCCAUGUUAAACACUAAUAAUGUACCAAUAGAAGAAAAAAAUAAUUAUAUUUGACAAUGAGAAAUAUUGUAUGAUAUUAAUUGACUGAUUUCAGAUUAUUCUGUACCUAAUAUAAAACUAAAACAAAAACUGAAGUCUUAGGUAGUUAGUUUUGAGAAUUCAGUCUUUUCAGUACUAUUUUAUUAAGAGUCCUGAUAAAUAAUAUAACAUUGUUUCAGUGUCAGUUGUUGAACUAUAAUCUUCCAAAAAAGAAUUC